UACGAACCGUACAAACGUUAUUCGGAAUCACUGGGCUUAAAGGGUGCGUAGGCGGCCAUGUAAGUGGGGUGUGAAAUCCCUCGGCUCAACCGAGGAACUGCGCUCCAUACUGCAUGGCUUGAGGGAGACAGGGGUAAGCGGAACUGAUGGUGGAGCGGUGAAAUGCGUAGAUAUCGGGAGGAACACCAGAGGCGAAGGCGGCUUUCUGGCUGCUAACUGACGCUGAGGCGCGAAGGCUGGGGUAGCGAACAGG
Molecule: ribosomal RNA, 253 nt
Filed under: uncultured bacterium
Lineage: Bacteria
Description: partial 16S ribosomal RNA
Rfam family: Bacterial small subunit ribosomal RNA
Source: RNAcentral